RNAcentral lists this long non-coding RNA (692 nucleotides) under Brassica rapa (field mustard). RNAcentral's name for it is "long non-coding RNA (BRAP_LNC002678)". Lineage: Eukaryota; Viridiplantae; Streptophyta; Magnoliopsida; Brassicales; Brassicaceae. The record is from RNAcentral.
UUGGAAUUAGCCGAUUUUUCACAAUUUUCUUCACAUGUGGGUAUGCUUUUGCGAAAGUUCAAAUGCCUAUAUUAUUUUGUGACAUUAUAUUACUUAUUUUUCAAAGGAGAUGAUGAUAAUAAUGAUGUAUCGGUUGAUUGCUGAUGCGAGAGAAUGAAUGUUUACUCUGAUUGGCCUCUCACAAACUUUCCGAAAUCAAAGAACACAUUUCUGCAAAAUAAAAAUAAAGUGAAGCGAAAAGAGAGCUUUGAUCUUGAUUUUCUCUUGAGUAUUAACAAUCUCUCUUUUCUGCCGAAAGAUAAACCGGAAUUAUUACAACAUCGUUUUCGUCUUACUUAGGUAAUGAUUGUUUCAGUAGUUUUUAGUUUUAGUUUUUGGGUUUUAGAUUUUAAUUUUUGGUUUUUAGUUUUUAGUUUUUAGAUUUUGGUUUUUGGUUUUCAGUUUUUGAUUUUUGAUUUUUAGUUUUUAGAUAGAUUUGGUUUUUGGUUUUGUUGUAUAUUUUUUUAUUUUCAAAAAUGAAUUAAUACAUUACUUUAAAAUAAGACAACAAAAUAGCAAUAAAUAUUUAUAUUUUAUAAUCAAAUAUAUCAAAAUUCUAUGAUUAUCAUUUUAAAAUAAAAUAUAAUAACAUAUUUUAAUUAUUAAAUUUUCUUUAAAAAUAUAUUACAGUAAAAUACAAAUCGUAAAAUAUA